RNAcentral lists this unclassified non-coding RNA (348 nucleotides) under soil metagenome. Its description in RNAcentral is "partial contains 5.8S ribosomal RNA, internal transcribed spacer 2, and large subunit ribosomal RNA". The stretch from base 1 to 120 matches the Rfam family "5.8S ribosomal RNA", at positions 35 to 154 of the family's 154-position model. The record is from RNAcentral.
GAUGAAGAACGCAGCAAAAUGCGAUAAGUAAUGUGAAUUGCAGAAUUCAGUGAAUCAUCGAAUCUUUGAACGCACAUUGCGCCCGCUGGUAUUCCGGCGGGCAUGCCUGUUCGAGCGUCAUUUCAACCCUCAAGACCCCGGGUUUGGUGUUGGGGAUCGGCUCUGCCCUUCUGGGCGGUGCCGCCCCCGAAAUACAUUGGCGGUCUCGCUGCAGCCUCCAUUGCGUAGUAGCUAACACCUCGCAACUGGAACGCGGCGCGGCCAUGCCGUAAAACCCCAACUUCUGAAUGUUGACCUCGGAUCAGGUAGGAAUACCCGCUGAACUUAAGCAUAUCAAUAAGCGGAGGA